CCAAUAGCGUAUAUUAAAGUUGUUGCAGUUAAAAAGCUCGUAGUUGAAUUUCGGGAUCAACAUGUCGGUCGUGCCUCUGGUACGUACUGGUAUCGUUGGUUUCUUCCUUCUGACGAACCAUGAUGUCAUUUAUUUGGUGUCAUGGGAAAUCAGGACCGUUACUUUGAAAAAAUUAGAGUGUUUAAAGCAGGCACACGCUUGAAUACAUUAGCAUGGAAUAAUGAAAUAGGACGUUUGAUUCUAUUUUGUUGGUUUCUAGGAUCGACGUAAUGAUUAAUAGGGAUAGUUGGGGGCAUUAGUAUUCAAUUGUCAGAGGUGAAAUUCUUGGAUUUAUUGAAGACUAACUACUGCGAAAGCAUUUGCCAAGGAUGUUUUCAUUAAUCAAGAACGAAAGUUAGGGGAUCGAAGACGAUCAGAUACCGUCGUAGUCUUAACCAUAAACUAUGCCGACUAGGGAUCGGAUGAUGUUAAUUUUUUAAUGACUCAUUCGGCGCCUUACG
Molecule: ribosomal RNA, 500 nt
Filed under: uncultured Glomeromycotina
Lineage: Eukaryota; Fungi; Glomeromycota
Description: partial small subunit ribosomal RNA
Rfam family: Eukaryotic small subunit ribosomal RNA
Source: RNAcentral